This 250-nucleotide ribosomal RNA is filed under the name uncultured bacterium. Its description in RNAcentral is "partial 16S ribosomal RNA". It matches the Rfam family "Bacterial small subunit ribosomal RNA", at positions 779 to 1031 of the family's 1533-position model. The record is from RNAcentral.
UAGAUACCCUGGUAGUCCACGCCGUAAACGAUGUCAACUAGCCGUUGGUCGGGUUACCGAUUAGUGGCGCAGCUAACGCAUUAAGUUGACCGCCUGGGGAGUACGGUCGCAAGAUUAAAACUCAAAGGAAUUGACGGGGGCCCGCACAAGCGGUGGAGCAUGUGGUUUAAUUCGAUGCAACGCGAAGAACCUUACCUACCUUGACAUUGACAGAACCUUGGAGAGAUCCGAGGGUGCCUUCGGGCCUGGA